CCACUAACGCUCAGGUGCUUAAGGUAGAAAAGUUCAUCUUAACAGAUUUGCUUAAACAGUCAAAGAACAAAACCACCUACUGCCUGAAUUCAUACCCUGUGCUGUGGGAUUAAAGAAAUAAAACAAUACUCAGUGAAUUUUUCUAAAUAGAAGAAUGAUCCAUCAGAGAAACUAAAGAUAAAACAUGCAUUUUUUUUAAAUAAAUUCAGACUUCAGCUUCUGAAUUUAUAAAGCAACUAAGUUCUUUUCAUUUUAGAUUGUGGAAAACUCUCCCACCUCAAAACUGGAAAAUAAUACAAAACACAAAAAAAGGACUCCAUUGCUUUGAACUAAUUAUGUAAUACAAAGAAAAAUAAUUUGAAUUCCUUAACUAGAGUUGCUACUUAUGUGACAUUCUCACAUCUAUUGUAACUAUCUCUGAGGAAAAAUGCAAGUAAGGAUGACAGAACAUCAGCAAUACAAAGGUUUUCCUUUUUUUCUUUUCUGAGAACUUUACAUUUCUACUUUCAUUGGAUGAAAAAAUCCUAGCAAUUCAUAGGCAAUACAGCAAGAAGAUUUACCUUGCGAAAACUAAAUCAGAAUGAAAGGACAUGGUACAUUGAAAAAGCAGUGACUUGUCCAAAAUACAAGUUCUUUGGAAUAAUACUGCUGAAAUACCUGAGAUCUGUUAAAUCAACCUUAAGAAACAGCAAAUGGAGCAAUGUAGAAAGAACAAUAUCAAUUCCCAUAAAAUAAAGCCACAAUUCACAAAUCA
Ictidomys tridecemlineatus (thirteen-lined ground squirrel) is the source of this 754-nucleotide non-coding RNA. Lineage: Eukaryota; Metazoa; Chordata; Mammalia; Rodentia; Sciuridae. The record is from RefSeq and is a predicted model, not a curated record.